AACGUAGGUACCGAGCGUUAUCCGGAUUCACUGGGCGUAAAGCGCGUGCAGGUGGUUUGGUAAGUCGGGCAUGAAAACUCUUGGCUCAACUGAGAGAAGCUGUUCGAUACUGCCGGACUUGAGGGUGUGAGAGGGAGGUGGAAUUCCGCGUGUAGUGGUGAAAUGCGUAGAUAUGCGGAGGAACACCAGUGGCGAAGGCGGCCUCCUGGCACACUCCUGACACUCAGACGCGAAAGCUAGGGGAGCGAACGGG
RNAcentral lists this ribosomal RNA (253 nucleotides) under uncultured bacterium. Its description in RNAcentral is "partial 16S ribosomal RNA". It matches the Rfam family "Bacterial small subunit ribosomal RNA", at positions 524 to 776 of the family's 1533-position model. The record is from RNAcentral.